UUGAGAAUUUACGUUGUUUAUCUACCUUUAAAAGACCUUCUUCGGAGGGUAUGCUUAAAGAGGGGCUUGCGUCACAUUAGUUAGUUGGUAGGGUAAUGGCCUACCAAGACGAUGAUGUGUAGCUGGACUGAGAGGUUGAACAGCCACAUUGGGACUGAGACACGGCCCAAACUCCUACGGGAGGCAGCAGUAGGGAAUUUUCGGCAAUGGAGGAAACUCUGACCGAGCAACGCCGCGUGAACGACGAAGUACUUCGGUAUGUAAAGUUCUUUUAUUGAAGAAGAAACAAUAGUGGAAAAACUAUCUUGACGUUAUUCAAUGAAUAAGCCCCGGCUAACUAUGUGCCAGCAGCCGCGGUAAUACAUAGGGGGCGAGCGUUAUCCGGAAUUAUUGGGCGUAAAGGGUGCGUAGGCGGUUUAAUAAGUCUCUAGUUUAAUUUCAACGCUUAACGUUGUCCUGCUAGAGAAACUGUUUGACUAGAGUGAGAUAGAGGUAAGCGGAAUUCCAUGUGUAGCGGUAAAAUGUGUAAAUAUAUGGAGGAACACCAGAGGCGUAGGCGGCUUACUGGGUCUUUACUGACGCUGAUGCACGAAAGCGUGGGGAGCAAACAGGAUUAGAUACCCUGGUAGUCCACGCCGUAAACUAUGAGUACUAAGUGUCGGGGUUAAACUCGGUACUGAAGCUAACACAUUAAGUACUCCGCCUGAGUAGUACGUACGCAAGUAUGAAACUUAAAGGAAUUGACGGGAUCCCGCACAAGCGGUGGAUCAUGUUGUUUAAUUCGAAGAUACACGAAAAACCUUACCAGGUCUUGACAUACUCUGCAAAACUAUAGAAAUAUAGUGGAGGUUAUCAGGGAUACAGGUGGUGCAUGGUUGUCGUCAGCUCGUGUCGUGAGAUGUUAGGUUAAGUUCUAAAACGAGCGCAACCCCUGUCGUUAAUUGCCAGCACGUUAUGGUGGGGACUUUAGCGAGACUGCCAAUGAAAAAUUGGAGGAAGGUGGGGAUUACGUCAAAUCAUCAUGCCCCUUAUGAUCUGGGCUACAAACGUGAUACAAUGGCUAUUACAAAGAGUAGCUUAAACGCGAGUUUUUGGCAAAUCUCAAAAAAAUAGUCUUAGUUCGGAUUGAAGUCUGCAACUCGACUUCAUGAAGUUGGAAUCGCUAGUAAUCGCGAAUCAGCAUGUCGCGGUGAAUACGUUCUCGGGGUUUGUACACACCGCCCGUCGAACCACGAAAGUGGACAAUACCCGAAAGCGAUAGCCUAACUGCGCAAGCAGAGGGAAUCGUCUAAGGUAGGGUCGAUGAUUGGGGUUAAGUCGUAACAAGGUAUCCCUACCGGAAGGUGGGGAUGGAUCACCUCCUUUCUA
Molecule: ribosomal RNA, 1368 nt
Filed under: Coconut palm phytoplasma
Lineage: Bacteria; Bacillati; Mycoplasmatota; Mollicutes; Acholeplasmatales; Acholeplasmataceae
Description: bacterial SSU rRNA
Rfam family: Bacterial small subunit ribosomal RNA
Source: RNAcentral